Non-coding RNA from Chiloscyllium plagiosum (whitespotted bambooshark), 3460 nucleotides. The record is from RefSeq and is a predicted model, not a curated record. Lineage: Eukaryota; Metazoa; Chordata; Chondrichthyes; Orectolobiformes; Hemiscylliidae.
CUCAUGACCAUGUGAAAUACAGGUUGAGAUAAUAUCCAAACAUCAAUGUAGCAGAAAGAUAUGUCACAGUGGAAAAGAAAACAGAUGAAGGAUCAAAGUUGCCCGUUGGAAUGCCAUCAUCCAGUGACCAAAUUAUAAAUGGCAUCUGGUAUCUACACAUGUACACUGCAAUCAAAGAUACUUGGGUGUCUGCACUCAAGCUAAACAAUUCAGGAUGUACUGCUGCACCCUCCCCUCAGCAUGUCUUGCUGCAAUAUGGUCAAUUCCAGGAUCAGGCCUGGUCUCAGGGUACAGACAUGAUUGAAAUCUGCUGAAAAUGUACAGAAUCAUACCCAAAAGCACUACAUCAGGAUGUCCCAAAGUGCUUUAUAGUCAUUGACACACCACGACACGUGUAGCCACUGUUGUACUGUCAGGAAUGCAGCAGCCAAUUUGCACAGAGAAAGCUCUCACAAACAGCAAAUGCUGCCAAACCUGCUGUGUCUCGCUAGCAGUUUCUGGUUUCAGUUCAGGUCUCGGGUUCUUUGUUUUAUUUUAGCAUUGAACCAUGGAUAUGAUUUCACUGCUCAGCCACUCUAAUAGAAGUGCCAGGAACAACACCAACCACUCUACACGACCUUCAUUGACCUGACAAAUUGACUCACUCAGUCAGGAAAUGCUGUGGAAGAUCCUGUGAAAGGCCACCUGCCCAGUGAAAUCAGCAUCCUCUGUCCCCUUUGCAGUGAGGUAUCAGUUCAGUCCUCAUCAAUGGGAAAUGACAGAAUAAGGUCAAGUAGAGAUAUGUCAUCACCUGCACCCUUUUCUCUAUCGUCAUCGCCACCAGUCUUCAUUUUGUCAAGAACAAACUCCCCAGUGAUCUGGACAUUGUCUGAGGAUGGACUAAAGAGUUUUCAAUCUCAACCCUUCAAAUCCCAAAAAAAUGUGACACUAAGCUCCCUUGUGAAACUUCAGUAUACAGAUGACAAUGUCAUCUCUGCUCUCUUGGAAGAAAAUCUGCAAGCCUCACUUAAUGCCCUUCACAGAAGAAUACCAAAGAAUGGUCUUAACUAUGACCUCAAGAUGACUCAAAUCCUUUACCCAAAUGUCCCAGGUCAAGUUCCAUUCAGAUCAACAGAGAAAUCCUCUCAAACAUGGAACAUUACCACUAUCUGGGAAUCUACCUCUGAUCUAAAGCUGACUGCGAUGUGGAGUUUCAUCACAUCCAAUCGCCCAGCACCAUCUUUGGACACCGGAGAUUGGGUGGCUUUGAUGACCAUACCAUCCAUGCUGAUACCAAAAUCCUUGGUGAACAAGAUAGUCAUCCUUCAGACUUUCUAUAUGGUUGUGAAACUUGGACCACGAAUGGACACCACCUCAAAGCUCUUGAGAAGUACCUACCAUUAACAUUGUUUAAGAUGGAUUCUCUGCAUCAGCUGGGAGAUCCAGUGUCCUUGAAACAGCUAACAGCACCAGCAUCGGGAGGUCGUGAUCAUCCAAAACCAACACUGCUGGGCCAGCCAUGCAAAUUUUCUUCGCCUUGCUCAGGAAAGCAAUCAAAUGGGAGGAGAACAAAGAAAGUGGUUCAAAGACUCUCUGAAAGCUUCCCUCAAGAAAUCCAAUGUAGAUGUCAAUAUAGACACCAACGUAUGGGAGAUCCAUUAUCAGAAGAAACUGGGUUAGGGGAAGUCCUGGAUGAAGGGAAACAUUUCUUUGAGAACACCCAGCUGCAAGAAGUAGUACAGAAAGGGAACUAGAGAAAGGAAAGUCAAUGAUCUCGAUGACAAGGACCCAUUCCAACUUCCGGAAACAUUUACCAAAUGUAUGGUCCAAGAUGCAGCUCUCAGAUUGGGGCUCAUCAGACAUGCAAGGACUCCUGACGAGUAACGUGUAUUUAUUAGUGAGUGAUGGCCAAUGACAAGAGUUGUCUGGAUGGGUAAAGUACAAGUAACACACAAAACCAUUCAGAAUAAAGCAGCUAUUGGUUGGAACCCCAUCCAUCACCUCAAGCAUUCAAUGCUUGUAUCACCAAUGAACAUUGGCAGUGUGUACCAUCUAAAGAUGCAUGACAGUAAUUCACAAAGUGUCCUUCAACCACACCUUCCAAACAUACAGCCUCUACCAAUGAGAGGGCCACACCAUCCUGACUUAUGAACAAUAUCGUUGGUGCCUCUCUGUUGCAGGAUUAAAAUCCUGGAACUCCUUAACACUGCUGUCGAUGCGAACUGCAGCAGUUCAAGAAAAUGGCUCACCACUAUUCAGGGGCAGGAACAGAAAUCACAGACUACUCAUGACCCAGGCCUCUACCCCCUCACCAGAGGCUAGCAAUGCCACCCCAUAGCCAAGCAUACCAGCCCCAUCCCCAGCACAGUACGCCGGUCCUCUGAUCAAGCACAAUAUGUUCUUUAGGUCCAUUGGUACCAGUUAUUGGGCCCUGACGCAACUCCUGUUCCCAUCCCCUUCCACCACCUUCUCAAAGGCAAAUACAAAGGGUAGUAAAUGCUGGCCAACCAAUGAUACCCAAAUCCCAUGAAAGACUGAGAAAAAAGUUGCUUACAGUCCAGUGGACUAUGGCUAAUUAUGGGCACAACUGUUUGUUGUAUAUGCUGCAGAACUAACCAUUACCAUUAAUGAUUGGGAAGGAGUACUGCCAUGAAUCCUCCUUGCUAUACCAGGUCUAUUUGAAUAGCAGUAGUAGAGAAUGAGUCUUAAUGAGAAGAGGCAUUUUCCUUAAGAAAAUGUGCUUUAUUGCAUGAUAGCAAUGUGAAUGAGUUACAUCGGCUACUUUGACAAAAUAACUAAGACUCUCUGGAAAUACUGAUGACACAUCUGCCUUCAUCAGAAUCCUCAGGCAGAUUCCUCUUUUCUCCAGCCAAGACUCUAUGAGAUCAUCAGAUUGAGUGAAGCUUAAAGCAGUCUCCAACAUUAACCUUUCAGAAUGAUUAUCUUAUAUCACAAUCGUGUCUCGUUGAAUCAUACAGAUUUAAAGGCAUUGGGUUCAUUGAGUCAAAGCUUCUGUUAAGAUCCCCUCUUAGUAUUUGCUUUUACAAAGAAGGGAGCUCUACUCAUAAUUUUACAUUUCUGAAAAUAUUCAACUUUCGAGACAGCAAGCCAAAGAGCUUGAAUACCCUUUAUGGAAAAAAUACACCUCUAUGGUGGAGGUACAGAAACCACUGCAAACAAUCCCCAAGUGGGCAUAAUCAGUAGAAUUUCUACUUUAUACUGGGUGAGAGAAACCUGAACUUGGAAAAUUAAAAUGUAAACAUAAAAGCUGACUUACAAUCUUAGAAUUUCAAAUCUUGGUAAAGUUUAUUCAACAGACACAGUAUUGCAUUGCUCUCUGGUCAGGAAACAAGAAAAGUGAGUGCUAAUUUAGUACAGAUCCUUUCUGUUCUGUGGUCACUAUUGCACUGCAAGAAACACUGAAUCUAAUUUGUGCAUAGAAAGCUCUCACUAAUAGCCAUGGUUUUGACAAAAUAAUUUA